This 344-nucleotide ribosomal RNA is filed under the name uncultured bacterium. Its description in RNAcentral is "partial 16S ribosomal RNA". It matches the Rfam family "Bacterial small subunit ribosomal RNA", at positions 338 to 679 of the family's 1533-position model. The record is from RNAcentral.
CCUACGGGGGGCAGCAGUGAGGAAUAUUGGUCAAUGGACGAGAGUCUGAACCAGCCAAGUAGCGUGAAGGAUGACUGCCCUACGGGUGGUAAACUUCGUUUAUAAAGGAAUAAAGUGAGGCACGUGUGCCGUUUUGUAUGUACGUUAUGAAUAAGGAUCGGCUAACUCCGUGCCAGCAGCCGCGGUAAUACGGAGGAUCCGAGCGUUAUCCGGAUUUAUUGGGUUUAAAGGGAGCGUAGAUGGGUUGGUAAGUCAGUUGUGAAAGUUUGCGGCUCAACCGUAAAAUGGCACUUGAUACUGGCAGUCUUGCGUACAGUUGAGGUAGGCGGAAUUCGUGUUGUAGC